UAACACGUGGGCAACCUGCCUCAUAGAGGGGAAUAGCCUUUCGAAAGGAAGAUUAAUACCGCAUAAGAUUGUAGCUUCGCAUGAAGUAGCAAUUAAAGGAGCAAUCCGCUAUGAGAUGGGCCCGCGGCGCAUUAGCUAGUUGGUGAGGUAACGGCUCACCAAGGCGACGAUGCGUAGCCGACCUGAGAGGGUGAUCGGCCACAUUGGGACUGAGACACGGCCCAGACUCCUACGGGAGGCAGCAUG
RNAcentral lists this ribosomal RNA (246 nucleotides) under uncultured bacterium. Its description in RNAcentral is "partial 16S ribosomal RNA". It matches the Rfam family "Bacterial small subunit ribosomal RNA", at positions 111 to 353 of the family's 1533-position model. The record is from RNAcentral.